Molecule: long non-coding RNA, 408 nt
Filed under: Anas platyrhynchos platyrhynchos (common mallard)
Lineage: Eukaryota; Metazoa; Chordata; Aves; Anseriformes; Anatidae
Description: lncRNA (ENSAPLG00000021991.1)
Source: RNAcentral
AUUACCUGCCAGGUCCAGGUGGUGAGGGAGGCUGCUGACACAGCUAAAGGGUCCCAGCAUGUGAAAAGAAAAACACGUUUAGGAAGAGGAGCGCAUCUCCUAGGAAUGAUCAUUUGUUUGACCUUAAUCUGUCAUUGGCAAAGCUUCCAGGCUGCACUGCAUUAGCAGACGGAUAAUCGGCUCCAGCUGAAAUUACUUGCACAGCGUCGGUGAUGGAUUAGUCCCUGGUUAAAGUAACUGAGCUGAACCCACAGAUGCCGAAUUACACGGGAGGGAGUUCUGAUAUCCACCCCGCUGCGCUCCAGAGAGCAACUGGUGAGUGCUUACUCUAACUCUUGUACGUCUCUGCCACAGCACCUGGGCAGAUUGAGCUCUUGGGGGAUAAUGAGGGAGGAAACUGGCCCAACG